RNAcentral lists this ribosomal RNA (253 nucleotides) under uncultured bacterium. Its description in RNAcentral is "partial 16S ribosomal RNA". It matches the Rfam family "Bacterial small subunit ribosomal RNA", at positions 524 to 776 of the family's 1533-position model. The record is from RNAcentral.
UACAGAGGGUGCGAGCGUUAAUCGGAAUUACUGGGCGUAAAGGGUGCGUAGGUGGUUAGAUAAGUUAGGUGUGAAAGUCCUGGGCUUAACCUGGGGAUUGCGCCUGAUACUGUGUAGCUAGAGUACUGUAGAGGAAAGUGGAAUUUCCGGUGUAGCGGUGAAAUGCGUAGAUAUCGGAAGGAACAUCGGUGGCGAAGGCGACUUUCUGGACAGAUACUGACACUGAGGCACGAAAGCAUGGGGAGCAAACAGG